Acanthopagrus latus (yellowfin seabream) is the source of this 648-nucleotide long non-coding RNA. RefSeq lists it as uncharacterized. The transcript has 4 exons. The record is from RefSeq and is a predicted model, not a curated record. Lineage: Eukaryota; Metazoa; Chordata; Actinopteri; Spariformes; Sparidae.
GUGCCGUUAAACUGGUAGUCCACGUCGGUGUGGGAUUUGUUGAACAUAGCUCUGGAGGGCAGCCCCUGUUUCCUGCGUUCUCCAUCUGCCUCGACGGUAUAGCUGAUUGCUGCAGUGCAGAGAGAAACACAGGUACUUUCUAAACCUGUGCAAGGUGGACAUUAAAUGACGUCGGUGGAGUCUGUUCCUGAUUAUGGACACCUUGAAGGGCAUUAUACUUUAUGAAGGGCUUUAUUGAUCCUCCGAGAGAAAUCAGCUCCUGUCCACAGAAAGGUUUCCCAGAAAGCUCAAUCCUGCAAUAAUUCAACUGUUGGUCACUUGGUGGCAGCUGGAAUAAGAUGACAUAUGUCCAAACAUGGAGUCUUUGGUCCCGUUCAAACGCACAGGAGUGAUUCUGUCCCACCUUCCCGCCUGGUUGAUGUAGACGUAAACAGCUCCUCCAACGUCUCCAUCCUUCAUGUAGAACUGAGGAGCCCCAACAACUAUGUCUUGCCAUCUAGAAUAAAGAAGGAGGUCAACAACGGCUACGUCAUAUCCAAAGGAGGAAGCGAGUCCCGGCCCAUACAAGGUGUGCUCCACCAAUAGUCUGCUGGAGAUGUCGCUCUCUUUCCUCAACAGGACCACCGCUCCACUGUGAUUGGCUCUGGG